ACUUUCAUUAAUUAAAAUUAGGUCUUUACAAUAGGAGAAUUUCGUAGAGCAGUCUUAGCUAAAGCAUCCGCCUGUUUAUUUUUUUUUUUUGAUACAAAUCUAAAACAAAUUUCUUCAAAAGAAGCAGAGAUAAUCAGAAUAUUAUAUGUUAAAUCUUGUAGAGUUCUUUCUAGUGAAUCUCCGAUUUAAUGACUUCAAUCAAUUGAAUUAAGUCUGAAGCUACAAAUUUUUUUGUGAACCCUUGUGACGAUGCUUGUCUCAGGGCGUCAAGCAUCUCAAGCUCUUCAGCCAUCAGUGGUGAUCCGACAUGCGGCACUGAAGUGGAGUCGAAUAUCUUGAUACCCGAUCUAUGAUUUGAGAAUUGACAGCAUAAUCCAACUUUAAGAGAGAUCGCAUCCCAAGCCGCAUCGUUUGGAGUAUCAACACAUCGGAUCUUAGGGUGGGGAUAUUCUCUUUAGGGCGAAUUUAUUUUGGUUCCUGGAUCGUUCCUUGGGCCUCCUGCCAUUCACGAGAUAGGUAUAACGCAGUUGAUACGGUUUCUCCCAGAGAGUUGUGACGUUUGGAAAAGAUAUGGUGGUUACGCUUUUUCCAGAUCUUCCAGAGAAUCCAAGGGUGAAUGGGCAUUGUCGAACUCCGGAAGGUGGCAAAGCGAUGGUGCCUUAGUGUUUCAAAACCCUCUCUAAUGGUAGUAAAAUGAUGCGGGUUCCUUGGUACUUUCAGAGGAGCGAAGUUCCAGUCUUCUUUGGUGAAUCUGCUAGAGAAGAAAAGGUGUAGAGUUGACUCAAGGUUUCCACAAAAAGGGCAGACCGCAUCUUUAUUCACAUUUCAUGCCCUCAAGUUUUCCCCCACCGGUAUUUUCUGGGCAGUGGACGUUGGUCUCAUAGUAACCAGAUUUUUCAGAGUAGAUACCAAAUAUCGUUGGUAGCCAGACUCCUUUGUUGCAGGAGAUGUCAGAUAUGCAACAGUCUGGGUUUUUGUAUCUUUCGGGAGAGGGCCCAUUGGUAUCAGUGGGGAGGUAAGAGAGAUCCAGGAAUAUGUUUAGAUAAGGGUAUCAUUCCCAUUACCGAUUACCUUCCUAGCUGUGAUUUCAGGAGCUCUUUGCCAAUUAGGAUUUCCCUUCAACCAUGAGAAGUGGAAGCAGGAGCUACACUGUCUAGGAACGGGGUAGUAUGGCAGUAUUUACCUAAGAGAACCUUUACCAAGAGACAAUCAGGGUUUUUCAAAAUUCUCCAGCUGAUGUUGGCCAGGAGAGCGUCAUUAAAGCUCUAUAAGUCUCUUAAACCUAGCUCGCCUUCUCCUUUUGCUCUUGUUAGCUUGUUCCACGAUACCUGAUAUAUCAUGGUUUUUGUGGUUUUUAACCAUGAUAUAAGGAGUCUUUUGAUUUGUUUUCUAG
Molecule: non-coding RNA, 1393 nt
Organism: Camelina sativa (false flax)
Lineage: Eukaryota; Viridiplantae; Streptophyta; Magnoliopsida; Brassicales; Brassicaceae
Source: RefSeq, a predicted model, not a curated record